AUCAUCUUCCCGAUGGGAAGGAUGAGAAGCUUCGACCCGAAGGUUUGAGCCGAACGCAGUGAGACCACGCCACCUGUGGCGCCCGCAGGGCAAGGAGCGCAGCGACGCAGUUAUCCUUCCCCCACCACCA
Non-coding RNA from Triticum urartu, 130 nucleotides. NCBI's taxonomy places the organism in Eukaryota, Viridiplantae, Streptophyta, Magnoliopsida, Poales, Poaceae. The record is from Rfam.